Molecule: unclassified non-coding RNA, 509 nt
Filed under: Hevea brasiliensis (rubber tree)
Lineage: Eukaryota; Viridiplantae; Streptophyta; Magnoliopsida; Malpighiales; Euphorbiaceae
Source: RNAcentral
GAAGGUAUAUAUUUUUCGAAGAUAACAUUCAUUCGAUAGGAAUUAGUAAUACAGGACCAGCUACAGUGACAAAAACCAGAAGGCCAAAAUGAGGCCCAGCCAACUCUAGCCCUAAAAACAUCGAAGUCCAUGGGUUCACCAACAUGAGGAAACCCUACAGCUGGAAGAAAAUGAUGCAGAGAUUAGCCAGAACUGCUCCUUCGCCGCUGUCUUCUGUGGUGAAAAAUGGAUCUUCACCAAAAACAUCAAGCCCUUCUUCCAUCAUAAGGCUUAGACUUCAAAUACCCUGUGAGAUAGAAUCAUCACCGCUAGCUUCGGAGCGUGGCAUGCACGACAGAGCUCACAGCAUCUCACUCUCAUAUAGUCUUAGGGGUCGGCCGCCAUUGGUCAGCUGGCACUUGGACCCAAAGGUGCUACGGAAGAGGCUUCCACAUAACCUUAGAUAUUUAUUUCCUUGAAUGGAAUAUAGGUUUGAUAUGAUUGAGUUUGAUCAUAAUUUUUUCCGCGGG